RNAcentral lists this ribosomal RNA (87 nucleotides) under Neisseria elongata subsp. elongata. Its description in RNAcentral is "16S rRNA. Bacterial SSU". It matches the Rfam family "Bacterial small subunit ribosomal RNA", at positions 1 to 85 of the family's 1533-position model. The record is from RNAcentral. Lineage: Bacteria; Pseudomonadati; Pseudomonadota; Betaproteobacteria; Neisseriales; Neisseriaceae.
UUGAACAUAAGAGUUUGAUCCUGGCUCAGAUUGAACGCUGGCGGCAUGCUUUACACAUGCAAGUCGGACGGCAGCGGGGUAGUGCUU